RNAcentral lists this ribosomal RNA (481 nucleotides) under uncultured bacterium. Its description in RNAcentral is "partial 16S ribosomal RNA". It matches the Rfam family "Bacterial small subunit ribosomal RNA", at positions 28 to 507 of the family's 1533-position model. The record is from RNAcentral.
GACGAACGCUGGCGGCGUGCUUAACACAUGCAAGUCGAACGCUGAAGCUCAGCUUGCUGGGUGGAUGAGUGGCGAACGGGUGAGUAACACGUGAGUAACCUGCCCCCUUCUUUGGGAUAACGCCCGGAAACGGGUGCUAAUACUGGAUAUUCACUGAUCUUCGCAUGGGGGUUGGUGGAAAGGUUUUUUCUGGUGGGGGAUGGGCUCGCGGCCUAUCAGCUUGUUGGUGGGGUGAUGGCCUACCAAGGCUUUGACGGGUAGCCGGCCUGAGAGGGUGACCGGUCACAUUGGGACUGAGAUACGACCCAGACUCCUACGGGAGGCAGCAGUGGGGAAUAUUGCACAAUGGGCGAAAGCCUGAUGCAGCGACGCCGCGUGAGGGAUGGAGGCCUUCGGGUUGUAAACCUCUUUCGCUCAUGGUCAAGCCGCAACAUUGGUUGUGGUGAGGGUAGUGGGUAAAGAAGCGCCGGCUAACUACGUG